CCUACGGGAGGCUGCAGUGAGGAAUAUUGGUCAAUGGGCGUAAGACUGAACCAGCCAAGUCGCGUGAGGGAUGAAGGUUCUAUGGAUCGUAAACCUCUUUUAUAAGGGAAUAAAGUGUGGGACGUGUCCUGGUUUGUAUGUACCUUAUGAAUAAGGAUCGGCUAACUCCGUGCCAGCAGCCGCGGUAAUACGGGGGAUCCGAGCGUUAUCCGGAUUUAUUGGGUUUAAAGGGUGGGUAGGCGGCCUUUUAAGUCAGCGGUGAAAGUCUGUGGCUCAACCAUAGAAUUGCCGUUGAAACUGGGAGGCUUGAGUAUGUGUGAGGCAGGCGGAAGGCGGGGUGGAGCGGUGAAAGGCGUAGAUAUCGCGCAGAACCCCGAUUGCGAAGGCAGCCUGCCAAGCCAUGACUGACGCUGAGGCACGAAAGCGUGGGGAUCAAACAGGAUUAGAUACCCUUGUAGUC
RNAcentral lists this ribosomal RNA (460 nucleotides) under uncultured bacterium. RNAcentral's name for it is "partial 16S ribosomal RNA". It matches the Rfam family "Bacterial small subunit ribosomal RNA", at positions 338 to 795 of the family's 1533-position model. The record is from RNAcentral.